Molecule: non-coding RNA, 76 nt
Filed under: Detonula confervacea
Lineage: Eukaryota; Bacillariophyta; Thalassiosirophyceae; Thalassiosirales; Thalassiosiraceae
Source: RNAcentral
GCCUCCACGGCCUACCAACCCCUCUCUCACUUUCAAGCAAUUUUACAACACCAAACAACAUCAAGAUGAAUCUUUC